This 423-nucleotide ribosomal RNA is filed under the name uncultured bacterium. RNAcentral's name for it is "bacterial SSU rRNA". It matches the Rfam family "Bacterial small subunit ribosomal RNA", at positions 237 to 677 of the family's 1533-position model. The record is from RNAcentral.
AGGAUUAGCUAGUAGGUGAGGUAAUGGCUCACCUAGGCGACGAUCCUUAGCUGGUUUGAGAGAAUGACCAGCCACACUGGGACUGAGACACGGCCCAGACUCCUACGGGAGGCAGCAGUGGGGAAUAUUGGACAAUGGGCGCAAGCCUGAUCCAGCCAUGCCGCGUGAGUGACGAAGGCCUUAGGGUUGUAAAGCUCUUUUGGCGGGGACGAUAAUGACGGUACCCGCAGAAUAAGCCCCGGCUAACUUCGUGCCAGCAGCCGCGGUAAUACGAAGGGGGCUAGCGUUGUUCGGAAUUACUGGGCGUAAAGCGCACGUAGGCGGACAUUUAAGUCAGGGGUGAAAUCCCGGGGCUCAACCUCGGAACUGCCUUUGAUACUGGGUGUCUCGAGUCCGGAAGAGGUGAGUGGAAUUCCUAGUGUA